CACCCAAGUCUAGCGUCGACGUCGUGACUGACGUGUAUUACGUUUGACAACAAAAAAAUCAAGAGAACAAGGGGCCUGCUAAUUGAAAAAUUAAGAUGUGGGAAUGUUUGUGGGAGUGGACCGUGCCAGAUGCCUUCUUCAACGAACAGAGGGCCUGUUAAUGGAAAAAAUAUGAAUGCGUGAUAGACUGGAUAAGAUGCCUUUUCAAAAGCAAGUUUUGAGUUAACUCGUCCUUUGCUGAAAAAUGUCACAUUACCCAAGUAUACAGGAGUGAAGCUUUUGCCAUCGUAUAAUUUUCCCAUAAAAUGGGAACAUUUAAGUGUGGAAUUGUGUGUCAAUGAAUGGCCCCGUUAAUAGUGAUAUCACUUCCCGGAACAAAAGGAUGGAAGGCUGAAUGAGAAUAGAGGAGUGGAGGUGAGUCCAUGGAGCGUGUACCGUCAGCCAUUUCCGUCUCCUCCUUACGGGUCAUGCACCAGCCCAUCGAGAGAGCGCGUACAUGACUGACAAUACCCGCAAGACAAACGGUCCACUCCAGCACAAACCACGCUCAGACAGAAAUGUGCAAAAAAAUAAUAGUUAUUAAAUUAAUUGCGGUCGUAAUCUCGUAAAAUAUGUGUCAGAAAAUUAUACGCUGUUCGAUUAACACAUAACACGGAUGUCAAAUAUGUAAUAAAAUCCUGAUCAAUAAAACAAUAACCAUGUUGUUAAAAGCAGCCAUUGAAAGGUGUUGCCAGCUCUGUGUUUCAGGGGUGAGCACCCCUUUUAAUAUAAACGGAUUUCAUCUUUCCACCAUGUCACCUAAAUCACCACAAUGUUUGUGUAUACAAUUAUAAUAAGUUAAUAAAUUGUAGCAAUGGAUGGAUUAGGAAUACUCUCAUCGACCCCAUAUAUCAGGCAUUGUCAUAGGCACAGAAAAUGCAUGUCUAACAAUCUGUUGAUUACGCUGUGCUCUGAGGUAGAGAUACGUUAUUUGAACCUCUUGCAUUGUUAAAAUCAAUAAGUUUCAGGCAGUAAUGACCACAAUUAAUGAGUCUUUUUACAUCUUCAGUUAUCUAUAUCUAUUUUAGUUUUAACGGCAGGUUUAGUAUUCUUACAUUCUGCGUCUUUCUGAAAAAUGACACUUUUGUCUUUGCAAAGAACAGAGCUCAUUGAUUUUGUAGUGAAUGACAUGCUAUACUUUGGCCCUAAAGCAGUGCAUUGAGAGCAUACGGCAUAAAUGAUCACCUAUUGUUCCAGAUACAUCGUCUUAGUGCUAAAAAUUCACUAUACGCUAAAAGAAAAUGUUAAGUUUGGGUCUCAUAAUGAUUCUUUUCCAGCUGAAAAGGUAUUUGUGCAUAGCAUACAAAUGUAUCAUUGACCUAAAUGUGUUUUUUUAUGAAAAAGUGUUUUAAGGGAAGGCUUUCAUUAACUGAAACCGUAUUCCUCUUUCUCUUCUCAAGCACACUGAAAUAAUGUUCAUGCCACAUUGACUUCCAGAGGAGCAUUAGUGUAUUUAUCUAUUUAUGUGGAAUGAUUCGAAAAAGCUGUUAAUUUGAAAAUUAUUUUUUAUUUUAGUUUUAAUUUUUGCCAGGGAAAUAUUCAUUUGAGUGAAUUAAUUGUGUAGCAAUUAAAAGCGGCAUAUUUGGGAACAGUUAUGAAAAUGGCUGUAGCUGGAGGUGUGAAUUUUGUAAGUAGGGUUAAUUAACACUAGCCCUGCAUUGCCAAUGAAACCAUCAAUGCAUUUGAGUAGAGCUUAGACUUAAUUCAGAGCGGCUCUUUGUGAAUAAGUUUUAUCAUGCAUGCUAUUUGUGAAUAUUAUUGAUUAUUUCACCACAAGGAAUUUAUCGCCUUAUAUGCAUACUUUAUUUACUGUAUAUGUCCACAUUGAACCAGUAUGCUGUGUCUGUAUAGGUGAAAUAAAGAUAUAUACAGUAGAUUAAACAGUCCCAUCAUCUUAGCAAGCAAAGCAAGAUAUCAGUGCACUAGCAGAGCCAGUGGUCAAUAAUUGAAUGCGAGAGGCCCAUUGUCCAAUUACACGGAUUAUCAGUGGAGGCUCCCCCUCUCGUUAAUGACUAAGGCAAGGAUGAGUAAUUAAAAAGAUUCAUGUUGUGGCCACUUAAUGAUCCUCUCUCUUUUUUGUGCCUCAUCUGUGGUUACUAGAGCAUUUAAAGGAGGGCAUUGUACCAAAACUCCCUCAGUUUUUCAAAUGCCUUUGGUUACAUGUGUACUGUCGGAAAGCACCCAGCGAACAGCUGUUUGCAUAGAAACCGUGUGGUUUGGGUUACUCAGCUGUUGAAACUGCAGUAUUAAAGUCUUUUUGCAUGGAUUUGGCGGUUUGUCCACAUACCUGAAAGCUCAGGUCAGGAAGAAAUUCUUUGAGCUAUUGAGUAUGUAACUGCUCUGUGCUGUGAAAAAAGGUUUUGAUUAGUGCAAUCUGAGUUUUAAACGGAUUGUGGGUGCGUCAAAAUGUUCACUAACUAUAGGUGAUUCGAGAGUUGUUUCCUGUUGUAGAUGGCAAAAAAAAAAAAAAAAAAAAAUCUGAGAGCUCUAACAUUGGACCUACUGAAAAAAACUUCAAAGUUAACAUCAAAAUGCUGUCUAUUUAUUAAGUGUUACAUGGUUGAUUUAGCAUGUUCUUUGACAUUUGUCAUGUGCAUCUCUUUGGGUUUAGGCUUGUUCUUAUCCAGCAAUGGGUUAAAUUCACUAAAAGGUUGGUUCACUUUUGUUGAGUUUAAAAUUGCAUGUGCUUUCAUUAAAUAGCUGCAGUCCAGUUUAACAUGCCCAGCAAUAGCACUGUGUCAUAUAUAAAUCGUCAUUUAAAUUUUAAUUGUUGUUCUUUGUAAAUUAAUGUAAAUUUGUGUUAAUGUAAUUAGGCCUUAGUUUUGAUGCUGUUACUGUCUGUGGGAAGCUGAUGGUAAACAGAAAUGUAUUAAAAAGUGAUUGUUGUGCCUUUUUCUAUUGAUCAUGUACUGUAGUAUUAAUUCACUCAGUGAUGGAGAAGAGCAUUCUAAGUUUUAUAUAAUCAAUCAAGUUCAUUUUCAGAAAAAGGCACCUACUGUACAAUACUGUCCCUGUGAAGUAAAAUUUGCACACAGCAAAAAAUAAAAAAAAUAAAGAAAGAAAUAAAGGCCACGUUUGAGCUGUUACCUUAUUUGCAAUAUUACUAUUUUAGAUGGAUUUUAAAAAUGCAAAUAGAGCAUGCAAAUAACAAAUUCAGUUUAUCAUGAUUGAAUUUCCCUAGUUGCUGAAAGCACCUAAAAACACUGAUUUGAUUGAUUGACUUCAUGAUGACUUACUGUUCUUGUGGUCAGCCUGAUACAAAGCAUAUUUAGUAGCCAAAUUGAAGUGAUUAACUCCAGCAUUCAUUGUUGACUUCUGCCUGCUCAAACUCCACUUUUCUGAAAACCUCGACUUCCGACUCAAAGUUGGAUAUCUCGGGCCAAGGAUUUUCCGUAACCUAUUUUCCUGAGCCCUAGACCUCAGGGCUGAAUUCAUAAAAGCUCAGGCUGUCGAACAAUUUGUCUUUUGACAGGAGGGACCAGUGAAGCCACCAGAGGCUGGUCAACAGUGAGUGGCAGGGCCCAAGCCUGGGGCGAUACCUAUGGGGCGGGUGGCUGAAUGGGUAUUGCAGAAGCAGCUCUGGUAAGAGAGAGAAAGGGGAAGAGAGAGAGCGAGAAGGGGUAUGAAGGAGGGAGCAGGCCGCCAUCUGGCCCCGGAGAGGGAAUUGGGUGGUACGAUCAAGCCGAGGGUGGUGUCAGAUCAGAGCGGUCAGGGCUGGUGGUGAACAGAUGUUCUGGGGUGAACGUGCACACUAGCAAACGUGCUCUGGAGGGACCACGUGUGUCCAUCAUUGGCUGGAGAAUGCUGCUGUUCUGACCUUGAGCAAGGAAACAUGUCAAAGUCUCUCUGCUCUAAAAUACAA
Molecule: long non-coding RNA, 3901 nt
Organism: Cyprinus carpio (common carp)
Lineage: Eukaryota; Metazoa; Chordata; Actinopteri; Cypriniformes; Cyprinidae
Exons: 4
Source: RefSeq, a predicted model, not a curated record